Molecule: unclassified non-coding RNA, 3353 nt
Filed under: Schistocerca americana (American grasshopper)
Lineage: Eukaryota; Metazoa; Arthropoda; Insecta; Orthoptera; Acrididae
Description: exocyst complex component 1, transcript variant X3
Source: RNAcentral
GGGAGGGUAAGCAAUGAGUAUGUUUGUUUGGGUUGUUGGAAAUUAAAUGUGAUAUUUAUCUUUUGCAGUGUAUAGUGGAGAGAAUUGUGGAGUUGAAUUAAUUGUGUCACUACGAUUUUUUUAUUGAAGAUGAAUACGCCGGAAAGGUGUAAAAUUUAUUGACUGAUGCAAAGAAGUUAAUUGUCGUGAAGAAUCAUGUAACAGAAGAGGAGAUAACCUUCUUUCUCGGAGUGUAGAACAAGUGACUGCUGCUUCAUCGACUGCUGAAAGACAUAAAGAAGAUGCUCCUGAUGGAACAGUCUGGAUAGAAGCAGUGCCUAAUUCACAAGGGUUACAUCAUGUCAUCAGUGAGAAGAAUAUUGCAGAGGGAAUUAUUUCAGCCAAGUGAUGAACAGCUUGUGGCUGUAGUUCAUGUCAGUAAACCAAUGAAGAAGAAGAAAAUACACCUUUUAUGCAUUACAGUCUCAAAAGAAAAGCCGUUUUCUGUGGCCAUUCACCAGGUUAAAAAGACAGAUAAAAAUGCUUACAAGAAGAAAAGAACCUGGCUUCUUACAGAAAUGAAGUUGUUUGAUGGGAAAAAUGUAUCUGUUGAUACACAUGAAAUGGACAUCCACUUCGACAAAGUGUACAAGUGGGUCGCAGUGAAUGUACAGGAGAGACAAGAAUUCAUAAUGUCAUUAUAUGAAAAUUAUACAAAAUACUUCCCAAAGCAACCACUGCCCUUUCAGAACAUUCCAAGAGACUACAGUCGAGCUCAAAGCAUUCAAGUUCCAAGUGAAGUUAUAGUUACAUCAGGGGGCUAUGCAGAACCAGUGGAAGCAGAGGACUAUUUAGCACUUACAGAUCGUGAGGAAACUGAUUUGGAAGUAUUGAUAUCCCAGUGCCAAUUUGGAAUCAGUAAUGCUGAAGCAUUUACAGAUAUGUUAGCAAAAGACCUCUCUGUUCUGGAUGGUGAGAAUGUGCACAGUGUAUUAGCAUCAGAAAAACAAGUUGAACAACUUAUGGAACAAAUUGAGGCUGCAAUAACAGAAGCAGAACAUGUUGAAGCUAGAUUAAAUUCGUAUGAUGAGGUCCUUUGCCAUAUAAGAGACACAAUGGAAAAAAUGGAGGAAAAGAAUUUAUUAAUAGAAGUUGCAAACCGUAAUAAUCGCAAACUACUGUCAGAGCUGGAACAAGUGAUUACUCAACUUGAUCUGCCUCAUAAGCACCAGUCAUCUUUGGUGGAUGCUGACUUAACAAGUCCUCAGGGCCUGCAGAAUGCAAUAGCAGCAGGCAAGGCUCUGCUGGCAGCAAUGAAUGCAGAAAUUCAUCCGGCCCUUGUCCGCCUCGCUUCUGUUCAAGAACAGAGGAAGAGGUUUGAAAAAUGGAAAGCAAAAUUCUCACAGACAUUGUCAAGACAUUUCAACAAUCUUUUUAUACACCUGGGCAAUGAUAUUGGUCAAACACUGAGUUUUCAUGCAAAUGAAUUGUUAUUGCCAAAACACAAUUCAGUUCAUCGAGAGCUUGAAGUAUAUACAGAAUUAAUGCACUGGUGCAAAGCCAUGGACCGUAAAGCUUAUUUAGCUUUAAGCAAAGUUUAUACAAAUUCCCUUAGCAAAUUGUAUGAAAGAGAUAUUAAACAAUUUUUUGAAGAGGCAAAACAACAGAUAUCUGGAAUGAGGGAACGAAAAGGUAAGGGCAGUGGAUCGAAUCAAGACAUCACAGGGAAGUUGAAACAGCAAGCUCAAAGUUUUGGGCCAGGGAAAACAUCAGCCCCAGUUGGACUCCUUGGAAUGGAACGUGACCAGUGGUGUAUAGAGAUAGAUCAGGCUGAACGCCAGCGGUUUGAUGAAGUACUUGAGAAAGUUUUGGCACAGUUGGAACCUGUUUGUCUUGAAGAGCAAAAUUUUUGCGUCAGCUUCUUUCAGUUGGAUGUGUUGAGCCCAUCUACUAAGAACACCCAGACAACUUUGGAUGGUCUUGGACUGGACACUAAAAAUGACAUGGAUAGUUCUCCUCAGGUCCCUGGCGCUUUGCCCCUGAAAAAGAUGGAAAAACAGAUAAAUGAAGAAGUUCGACGUAUGAUGGGAGACCUGUUUAACUGUCUUGAACCAGAACUUAUGAACUUCAUCUCAUAUUAUGAAAAAAUUGACAGCUUCUACUGUAUGUAUGUAUUGGUACGUCUAAGUCAGCAUGUGAUGUCCGCCCAAGACACCGGAUCGUUUCUUAGUAUGACUUUUGCAUCAGCUUUGGUUCAAGUGAAAAGAAGCUUUGAUCGUUUUAUGAUGGCACAGUUGAAAUCUAUAGAGGAAGCACGUGUAAACCGUAAAAGCAAAUGUGGGAUUUUGCCAUAUGUAGAUAACUUUGAGGAGUUUGCUCAGACUGCAGAAACUAUUUUCAAGAGUACAGACAGACGUAAUGACUUAGACAAAUGGUAUCUGAAAAUAGUAUCGGCCAUGUUUGAAGCUAUUCCACGUAAUGCUGCAGAGCAUCACAAAACGCCACAAGAGGUUGUUAAAAUGGAAAAUUUUCAUCACCUGCAUGCUCUGCUGUCCCAGUUAAAAAUUGCUGUUUUAGAUGGGUUACGAAAAGAAGCAAAACAGAAGUAUAGUGAAGCUCUGAAAGCAUAUGUUACACAGUAUUUUGGAAGACCUUUGAUAAAAUUAAAUUUAUUUUUUGAUGGAGUUCAAGCUAAAGUUGCUCAAGGUGUUAAAGAAUCGGAGAUAAGUUAUCAGAUGGCUUACAGCAAACAAGAAUUGCGGAAAGUGAUAAAAGAAUACCCAGCACGAGAAGUGAAAAGGGGAAUAGAUAAUCUGUAUCGCAAAGUGGAGAAACAUCUCUGUGAGCAAGAAAAUCUUUUGCAGGUUGUCUGGAGAGCCAUGCAAGAAGAAUUCAUACAGCAGUAUAAGUAUAUAGAAGAACUUAUUCAGCGGUGUUACCCUGGCUCCAUGAUUACACUUGAUUUCACGAUACAGAAUAUUCUUGAAUUUUUUUCAGAAAUAGCUAGGUCACAUUAGCAAAUGUUCCUUCCGAAAAUGAAAAUGUGGAAGCUGUUUGUUUGAAAAAAAAAUCACAAAUAGAUAGCUGUACUGUAAGAUCUUGGAAUGGCCGAGAUAACACAGGGUUUCUUGAAAUCAAGAGUCUACACAAACAAACCCCACACAUUGGGUGGACUUCAGGUGGCCAUAACUCAAGAAAUAGCCAACCUGUCUCCUGCAAUGUUAGGAAAGGUUUUUGACAGUUUUGGUGCGAGACUUAAAGAGUGCUUCAUCACAUAAGGGCACCAUUUCAAGGACAUCAUCAUCAAAUCUUAAACUGAUGAAACCGGUUGUUCCAGUGUUAUUUUCUUUAAUUUCCAUUAACCCCAUUCUGUA